GGUUUGAUUAUGGCUCAGGAUGAACGCUAGCUACAGGCUUAACACAUGCAAGUCGAGGGGCAGCAUUUUAGUUUGCUUGCAAACUAAAGAUGGCGACCGGCGCACGGGUGAGUAACACGUAUCCAACCUGCCGAUAACUCGGGGAUAGCCUUUCGAAAGAAAGAUUAAUAUCCGAUAGUAUAUUAAAACCGCAUGGUUUUACUAUUAAAGAAUUUCGGUUAUCGAUGGGGAUGCGUUCCAUUAGUUUGUUGGCGGGGUAACGGCCCACCAAGACUACGAUGGAUAGGGGUUCUGAGAGGAAGGUCCCCCACAUUGGAACUGAGACACGGUCCAAACUCCUACGGGAGGCAGCAGUGAGGAAUAUUGGUCAAUGGACGAGAGUCUGAACCAGCCAAGUAGCGUGAAGGAUGACUGCCCUAUGGGUUGUAAACUUCUUUUAUAUGGGAAUAAAGUAUUCCACGUGUGGGAUUUUGUAUGUACCAUAUGAAUAAGGAUCGGCUAACUCCGUGCCAGCAGCCGCGGUAAUACGGAGGAUCCGAGCGUUAUCCGGAUUUAUUGGGUUUAAAGGGAGCGUAGGUGGAUUGUUAAGUCAGUUGUGAAAGUUUGCGGCUCAACCGUAAAAUUGCAGUUGAAACUGGCAGUCUUGAGUACAGUAGAGGUGGGCGGAAUUCGUGGUGUAGCGGUGAAAUGCUUAGAUAUCACGAAGAACUCCGAUUGCGAAGGCAGCUCACUAGACUGCAACUGACACUGAUGCUCGAAAGUGUGGGUAUCAAACAGGAUUAGAUACCCUGGUAGUCCACACAGUAAACGAUGAAUACUCGCUGUUUGCGAUAUACAGUAAGCGGCCAAGCGAAAGCAUUAAGUAUUCCACCUGGGGAGUACGCCGGCAACGGUGAAACUCAAAGGAAUUGACGGGGGCCCGCACAAGCGGAGGAACAUGUGGUUUAAUUCGAUGAUACGCGAGGAACCUUACCCGGGCUUAAAUUGCAUUUGAAUAAUCUGGAAACAGGUUAGCCGCAAGGCAAAUGUGAAGGUGCUGCAUGGUUGUCGUCAGCUCGUGCCGUGAGGUGUCGGCUUAAGUGCCAUAACGAGCGCAACCCUUAUCUUUAGUUACUAACAGGUCAUGCUGAGGACUCUAGAGAGACUGCCGUCGUAAGAUGUGAGGAAGGUGGGGAUGACGUCAAAUCAGCACGGCCCUUACGUCCGGGGCUACACACGUGUUACAAUGGGGGGUACAGAAGGCAGCUACCUGGCGACAGGAUGCUAAUCCCAAAAACCUCUCUCAGUUCGGAUCGAAGUCUGCAACCCGACUUCGUGAAGCUGGAUUCGCUAGUAAUCGCGCAUCAGCCAUGGCGCGGUGAAUACGUUCCCGGGCCUUGUACACACCGCCCGUCAAGCCAUGAAAGCCGGGGGUACCUGAAGUACGUAACCGCAAGGAGCGUCCUAGGGUAAAACUGNUAAUUGGGGCUAAGUCGUAAAAAGGUAGCC
Molecule: ribosomal RNA, 1488 nt
Filed under: uncultured bacterium
Lineage: Bacteria
Description: bacterial SSU rRNA
Rfam family: Bacterial small subunit ribosomal RNA
Source: RNAcentral